RNAcentral lists this ribosomal RNA (301 nucleotides) under uncultured eukaryote. RNAcentral describes it as "SSU rRNA". It matches the Rfam family "Eukaryotic small subunit ribosomal RNA", at positions 587 to 899 of the family's 1831-position model. The record is from RNAcentral.
AGCUCCAAUAGCGUAUAUUAAAGUUGUUGCAGUUAAAAAGCUCGUAGUUGGAUUUCUGGGAGGGUGCCAACGUCCGCUCGUUGCGUGUGCUGCGGCGCCCUUCCAUCCUUCUGUUAACGCCUCUUGGCAUUCACUUGCUGGUGGCGGGCUCAGAUAUUUUACCUUGAGAAAAUUAGAGUGUUUCAGGCAGGCUAGGCCGGAAUACAUUAGCAUGGAAUAAUGGAAUAGGACUAUGGUCUCUUUGUUUGGUUUGAGGGACUGCAGUAAUGAUUAAUAGGGAUAGUUGGGGGCAUUAGUAUUU